GACGAACCGUGCGACCGUUAUUCGGAAUCACUGGGCUUAAAGCGCGUGUAGGCGGGACGGCACGUCGGUCGCUGAAAGCCCCCGGCUCAACCGGGGAACGGGCGCCGAUACGACCGUCCUGGAGGGACGUAGGGGGACCUGGAACAUCCGGUGGAGCGGUGAAAUGCGUUGAGAUCGGAUGGAACGCCCGUGGCGAAAGCGAGGUCCUGGACGUUUUCUGACGCUGAGACGCGAAAGCCAGGGGAGCGAACGGG
RNAcentral lists this ribosomal RNA (254 nucleotides) under uncultured bacterium. RNAcentral's name for it is "partial 16S ribosomal RNA". It matches the Rfam family "Bacterial small subunit ribosomal RNA", at positions 524 to 776 of the family's 1533-position model. The record is from RNAcentral.